RNAcentral lists this ribosomal RNA (857 nucleotides) under uncultured bacterium. Its description in RNAcentral is "bacterial SSU rRNA". It matches the Rfam family "Bacterial small subunit ribosomal RNA", at positions 524 to 1381 of the family's 1533-position model. The record is from RNAcentral.
UACGUAGGGGGCGAGCGUUGUCCGGAAUGACUGGGCGUAAAGCGCGCGCAGGCGGUUUCUUGCGUCUGAGGUGAAAGACGAUGGCUCAACCAUCGCAAUGCCUUGGAAACGGGGGAACUUGAGGGUCGGAGAGGCAAGGGGAAUUCCACGUGUAGCGGUGAAAUGCGUAGAGAUGUGGAGGAAUACCAGUGGCGAAGGCGCCUUGCUGGACGAAACCUGACGCUGAGGCGCGAAGGCAUGGGGAGCAAACAGGAUUAGAUACCCUGGUAGUCCAUGCGGUAAACGAUGAGUGCUAGGUGUCGGAGGGUACCACCUCCGGUGCCGAAGGAAACCCAAUAAGCACUCCGCCUGGGGAGUACGGUCGCAAGACUGAAACUCAAAGGAAUUGACGGGGGCCCGCACAAGCAGUGGAGCAUGUGGUUUAAUUCGAAGCAACGCGAAGAACCUUACCAGGACUUGACAUCCCUCUGACGGCUUUAGAGAUAAGGCGUCCCUUCGGGGCAGAGGAGACAGGUGGUGCAUGGUUGUCGUCAGCUCGUGUCGUGAGAUGUUGGGUUAAGUCCCGCAACGAGCGCAACCCUUGAUCUGUGUUACCAGCACGUAAUGGUGGGGACUCACAGAUGACUGCCGGUGACAAACCGGAGGAAGGCGGGGAUGACGUCAAAUCAUCAUGCCCCUUAUGUCCUGGGCUACACACGUGCUACAAUGGACGGUACAACGGGAUGCGAAAGAGCGAUCUUGAGCCAACCCCACAAAGCCGUUCGUAGUUCGGAUUGCAGGCUGCAACUCGCCUGCAUGAAGCCGGAAUUGCUAGUAAUCGCGGAUCAGCAUGCCGCGGUGAAUACGUUCCCGGGCCU